AGCUUUGCACAGUAGUAGUAUCGCAGCCACGAGGUUUAUCCAAAGCGCGAUUAUUGCUAAUUGAAAAUUUUUCCUAAUAUCCCGCCGAGACGACUUGCAAUAUAGUCGGUAUUGGCAAUUUUUGACAGUCUCCACAGAGA
Small nuclear RNA from Cebus imitator (Panamanian white-faced capuchin), 140 nucleotides. Its record names the gene U4. It matches the Rfam family "U4 spliceosomal RNA". Rfam says of the family: U4 small nuclear RNA (U4 snRNA) is a component of the major U2-dependent spliceosome. The structure of U4 snRNA from yeast and human has been reported. The record is from Ensembl. Lineage: Eukaryota; Metazoa; Chordata; Mammalia; Primates; Cebidae.